CUGGCAACAUGAUGAAUAAAACCAAAUCACCAUCUUUCGACUGAACGCAUGAUGAUUUGUUUUACCUGAGAAGGCCAGUUGUGCUUGAUCAG
Molecule: small nucleolar RNA, 92 nt
Organism: Salvator merianae (Argentine black and white tegu)
Lineage: Eukaryota; Metazoa; Chordata; Lepidosauria; Squamata; Teiidae
Source: Ensembl